CAGACACAAUCCCAGCAGUCGGAAGGUCAGGUGGAUAAUGGUGGGGUGAGGAGGAACAGCUCUUCCCCUCUCAGCUGUGGAAACUGCCCCUCUGAUAAACAACACCCCCAACCCCCUGGAACAAAACUAACAGGAAACCCCCGAGGGCAGGAUCCAGCUCCGGCACCCACCCUCCCCACCCAGCAUGAAGCUGACACCCGCCUCCCCUGACAGCAGGCGCUGUGUGUCCUGACCUGCAGGGCAUCCCUCCGCAGCAGGCUGGUGACAUUCCUUGGUUCGCCUCUUCACAGAAAUGAUGAAGAAGCCCAGGCUGGCCUUUUGUUCAUGAGGACACUCGGCGGAAUGUGCCUCUCCGGGAAGCGUUGGGUGCUCGGGCCGGGGUUCUGCUACUCAUGUGGGCUCAGGGUCGGAGACGCCGAGUCUCUGGGGCUCUGAGAUAUUAACAAUCUGCCAUCGUCCCAGAUUCGCCUGUGGCUGCUCAGAUUUCCCCGGCCCGGAAGAAACCGCCCAACAUGUUCCUCGGAACAGAAAUCCAGGAGCAGUUGCCCGGUCCGAGGGGGAGAGCAAGCUGGCUUUGCUCAAGUUUGCUUUUUCUCAGGCUGCAAGCUUAGGGGCCCGGGCCUCCCGUUUUUGCAAAAUGGAUUGUCAGCCGAGUUGAUGAAACAAAAUUUGGGGUUUCAGAGGACACCACCCAGCAUAUCUUAGUAGAUCUUAUUUUUAAAGUCAUGCCAAAUCACUUCCAGGGAAAAAUCGAUCUGUCUCUGAUAGCUUUU
RNAcentral lists this long non-coding RNA (773 nucleotides) under Homo sapiens (human). RNAcentral describes it as "HSALNT0000694". Lineage: Eukaryota; Metazoa; Chordata; Mammalia; Primates; Hominidae. The record is from RNAcentral.